RNAcentral lists this long non-coding RNA (253 nucleotides) under Homo sapiens (human). RNAcentral's name for it is "non-protein coding lnc-STT3B-4:1". Lineage: Eukaryota; Metazoa; Chordata; Mammalia; Primates; Hominidae. The record is from RNAcentral.
GUUAUAUUUUCUUGCUGAACUGACCCCUUCCUCAUUAUACAAUGACCUUAUUUGUCUCUUCUUAUAGUUUUGGUCUUGAAAUCUAUUUUGUCUGAUGUAAGUACAGCAAAUUCGGCUUUUGGUUUCCAUUGUCAUGGAAUAUCUUUUUCUAUUCCUUUAUUUUCAGUCUAUGUGUGUUUUUAUAGGUGAGGUGUGUUUCUAACAGAUCAAUGGGUCUUAUUUUUUCAUCCAUUCAGCCACUCUAUGCCUUUUC